RNAcentral lists this long non-coding RNA (1577 nucleotides) under Nicotiana tabacum (common tobacco). RNAcentral describes it as "long non-coding RNA (NTAB_LNC012496)". The record is from RNAcentral. Lineage: Eukaryota; Viridiplantae; Streptophyta; Magnoliopsida; Solanales; Solanaceae.
CUUGAUCUACCACUAUCUCUAUCAUAGACUACUUUGGCAUCCACAACAUUGCCUUGCUCACUGAACAAUUCUUUAAGUGCCAGGUCAUCGACACCCCACGAGAGGUUUCCUACGUAUACUCUAUUGCUGCUGUCAACACUUCUCCCACCCCGUGCACCUCCAAAAGAAGAAUUCCCGUCCCUUCCACCUCCAUAUGAAGAAUUUCCACCCCUUCCACCUCCAAACGAAGAAUUCUCCCUUUUGGCUGGUGCUGGCCCUGCGUUCACCCUUAUUGCCCUCCCGUCAAUUUCCUGCAAAAAUGACAUCAGAAUGUUCGCUUAGAUAUCAAUCAAAAUCGUUGCAACUGAGUGCAUAUCCAAGCACUUGAUAAGACUUAAGAUUAUACAAAUUGCAAGUUGAAAGUGAGACUAGAAAAAGUUAAUUAACGAAUAUAGUUUGUUUUAACAGUCUUUAAGAUAACCAAAACCAUGGAAAAUUUAGACAACCGUUGUAAUAUAAGUACACUUAAUGGUAAUAAUGGAUUACGAGCAGAAAGGGCAAGACUUUACAUAUCCAUUGAAUUGUUGUUCAGCAGCUUCAACUUCCUCUUUCGUAGACAUUGUCACAAAACCAAACCCUCUGCUUCUUCCAGUGAGCUUGUCAUAUAUAACCUGCAAAAAUUGUAACAAAAUUCACUACUUCAUUACCCUCCUAGUCAAUCCUUCUCGCCCAAAACAAACUCUGUUGAGCUCACUACAGGGAAUGUACAAAACAAAGAGUGCCUUCUCCAAAGAAACUAGAGCAAAUAGGACAAAAGAAUUACUGCUACAUUGCAAAAGUUUCAUAGCAACUUACUCACUGGUCAUGUUUCCAAUUACGAUUUAAGUUAUAUACACUGUCAGUAUAAUGAAUUUUACACCAUCAGUGUGAUUUAACAUGUUAUAGCAGAUUUCUUUGCCAUUUUCUAGGUUACCUAUCAAUGUUUAUUAAGUAGAGUUACUUGCAAUUACCUAUUAAAUGACCAUUUAAGAACCUUAAAAUAUCCAUUUCCAGUUAAUAACGUUCAAACAUGACCAACACAGCAAUUCAAAGGAAUCUGAAGAAGGGAACUCCACUCCAAAUCAAAGCUUACUCCUUAAGUCUUGAAUUGAGUGAACCAACAACAACAACAACAACAACAACAAACCAAGUGUAAUUCUACAAAGUGGUGGGGAGGGCAGAGUACGCACACCUUAACACUACCUUGUGAAGGUGGAGAGGCUGUUUCCGACAGACCCUCGGCUCUCUUGAAUUGAGUGAACCACCACAUAUUAAUGCUUAAACUGUAGACACUUUUAAUUAUGCCAUGGCACAAUUUUAACUAUUUAAUUACGCUUUAACAUUAAUUAGCAAAAACAUAGGAAUAAUUGGCAGUUAACUAAAUUACCUCAACCAUUUCGACAUUUCCAGCACGUUCGAAAAGGCCAGCAAGAGCAGCACUGUCACCACUGAAAGGCAAAUUACCAACAAAGAGUUUAAGGUCUUCAGAGAAACGGGGUUGUUCUGAUACUUCAACAUCAUCUUCCAAUUGGUCAAAAUCAGAGAGCGCAACGCGAGUC